This 1015-nucleotide long non-coding RNA is filed under the name Prunus dulcis (almond). RNAcentral describes it as "sRNA ncRNA". Lineage: Eukaryota; Viridiplantae; Streptophyta; Magnoliopsida; Rosales; Rosaceae. The record is from RNAcentral.
AUGCAGCAAUGCAGCAGGCAAGUCGACGAGGACGUCGCCAUUAUCAGUGGGGGAGAAUGUCACGGAUCGCACAUAAGUGAGUGCUAUCGUGAUUCCGUAAGUCGGCGGUGCAGUGGGGCACGUCGACGAGGACGUCGACAUUAUCAGUGGGGGAGAAUGUCACGGGUCGCACUUAGACAAGUGUUACCGUGACUCCGUUGGGACAUCUAUGCGCUUAUGAGGUAGUCCAAGUGUGGACGGGCGAUAGCUUAAGAGCUAGAAUGGUUGGUGUUGGCCAAGUUGCACUUGUGAAGGGUAUUUUGGGUAUUUCCGAAGGUUACGGGAGGAAUCUGAGGAAACCCAAAAUACGGAAUAUGUUCGUGAUGUCGAGACGCAUGAAACGCAACUGACGGUUUGCCAUUCGGAGUUCGUAUGAAGAAGUUAUGCCCAAUUAUGACUCCUCGUGCAUAGGUGAUGUUCCCUCCUGGCAGAAGGCUAAAUGCAUAAAAUGCUAUAUAGGGGGUGACAUGGUGUCAUGCUCUCCACCACCCCUGGUGCUUACACCCUUGUGGCACUAAGCGAGCAUCCUUAUGACAUUGGAGAUAGUCAUAAGGGCGGGCAUAAGAUUGUUGAAGGAUAAUCUGUGCCUCCGAGGGAAAGGAAUUCCCGAGGACAGUACGAACACGCAGGGCCGUUCGUAUUGCGCAUCGUUGGAAAGAGUGAGGUCAACAUAUGGCAUUCGCUAUGCCAUCGGCUAGCGAGACAUAUGACAAUACUCGAUGGACUUGGCUUGGGUUCGGCCUUGUCUAAUAUUGAAGGAAGAUAUUCGGAUGCCGGUACGCAUGGGUUGCGACCCCAUGCAAUGCAUAGAUGGUUAUGUGGGACAUUCGGAAUAUAUAUGUCGCCAAGGCUUGGGCGACAUGCAAGUAUAACAGCUUGCGUGUAUAGCUUGAGGAUGUGGGCUAUCGUGAACGCUAAAGGAAUGACCGACAGAAGUGUGGGUAAACCGAUGGUGUGUUAGAUCGCUAUGUCUUGA